ACCUUUAAACAUGCAUUGUAUUUUGUCCUGUUUGUGACUUGAAUUUGCUGGAUUCAUGUUCAUGACUGAUGCCUAUGUCUAUUCGUUAUAAUAAUGAUUUCUAUGCGUUGUCUUAGUCAUAUAAGAUGAGGCAAGGGAUCCUUGUUUCUUAGAUUAGGUUUAGAUUAGGACCUUGGAGAUGGACCUUUGCGUGAAGAUGGUGGAGGUCGAUGUCUACUCCGACCGUUAUCUUGUAAUGCUCAUUUUCCCGACAUAUGUCUCGGGUUCCAUUCGUUGUAUAAAACCCGACGAGUUGCAGGUUUGCUUUCUUUUCUUUUUAAUUGUUUUCUCUUUUAUAUUUUUU
RNAcentral lists this long non-coding RNA (343 nucleotides) under Eucalyptus grandis. RNAcentral describes it as "long non-coding RNA (EGRA_LNC007817)". The record is from RNAcentral. Lineage: Eukaryota; Viridiplantae; Streptophyta; Magnoliopsida; Myrtales; Myrtaceae.